Molecule: long non-coding RNA, 1128 nt
Organism: Rattus rattus (black rat)
Lineage: Eukaryota; Metazoa; Chordata; Mammalia; Rodentia; Muridae
Exons: 4
Source: RefSeq, a predicted model, not a curated record
GCGGGAGCAGAGAGACGAGGAAAUGCUGUCACCGCCGUUAACAAGCACGUGGAGGUUUGUUAAAGGUAGUGGGAGGCAUAAUUCUUAGUCAAUGAGAGACAGCAGUAGCCAAUCCAGAAUACCGGGAACAGGUGCGGUGCCGGCAAACUGACUUCAGGCUGUGGAUGUACGGCUGAGAGAGAAGUAGGAAACCCUGACAGUGCUCAUGCCGGCUUUGAUCCGGCUGGAGCAGCCUGUGGUGGAGAUGGUUCUAUAUAGCCUUGGUGUCUACCAGCAUCUGGAGUGGGAGCCACAAGAGCCAUGUAGACAGGCACCCAGCACUGUGCCAGCAACGUGGGGCUGACUGGCUCUGGGGAAGAGUUGUUGGCAGUGCUGGCGACAAGGAUAGAGUGUGAGGCCUGGCGACAGGAUGGCAGGGCAGAAGCCUCAGCGCUCAGGAGCUGCGGUCCUGGCUGCUCUGAGGGUCCCUGAAAGAUAAAGGGUAAGGAGAAACAGACAGGCUGGCCAGGAAGCAACACAGUGCCUUCAGUGGUCACCAGGCUCCAAGCCCAUGAAAUGCUGCAGAGCAAGGGAGAUCCUGCAGAGGCUGCCAACUGUGAAGCCAGAGGACAGACGGCUCUGUGCAAAGUGGACGUAGAUUCUAGGACAUCACAGACACAGAUCUCUGCACAAUCACUGCAGUCAUGAAGGGACAGCCACAAAUAAAAGCAUGCAGUUGCAAAAACCAGUCCUGUAGGCACAGCCAGUUGCUUUUAAAGGUUCUAGAUGGAGUCAUCGGCAAAAAGCAGGCACCAUGCAUUUUGUUUCAACUGACACUGAAAUGCUCAUAGUAUUUUUGUGAACAAGAAAGAGGAAAUGAAGGCUGGGUGAUCAUCUUACUUGGGGCUAAGGGUGGUGGGUAUAAGCCAAGGUACCUCCAAGUCAGCCUGGGCUCAGGACCAGGGACCACAGGCACCCUGGGUCUUUUUACUGACGUGUUUUCCUUCUGGUAAUUGUCAUCUUAUUUUAAUUAAUUAUUUACUUACUGAGUAUCACACUAGUCUAGCCUCUGACUGCUGGAAUUUAAAGCAUGCAUGUUUAGCUAACAAAAACUAUUUAAAAAAAACUAAAAAAUUCAAUUAUAGGUAA